Long non-coding RNA from Synchiropus splendidus (mandarinfish), 1016 nucleotides. RefSeq lists it as uncharacterized. The record is from RefSeq and is a predicted model, not a curated record. The transcript has 3 exons. NCBI's taxonomy places the organism in Eukaryota, Metazoa, Chordata, Actinopteri, Syngnathiformes, Callionymidae.
UCAUUGUCCUGCUGGGUGUGACCUUUCCAGGGUGUCCCUGACCUCUGGAACCAAGAGGCGCGUGGAUGGAGGAUCAACACAGGUGGGGGCGAGUGCGCCCCCUGCUGGUUGGUGGGCCGUGACUGCGUGUGUGACCAGAGCAGGAUGUGGCUCCGCGUUAACUCCUCCAAACGUGCAUCUGAUGAAGUUGUGCUCAGGCCGUGGAGGAGGAUCAGGACCAGAGCGGAGAAAAUGUUUCGGCUCAGAAACAUGUUUUCUUUUUUUCCCUCUUCAUGAGCCUUAAUGGCUUCUCUGUCACGGCACGACUCCCUGUGUGCAGACAUUAGGCUGAACGACUCUGUGUCACUCUGCUCCACGUGCAGCCUCCUGAUGGAGGAGGCUCGCCACAUAGUUAAGCACUUGAAGCCGCCGCCAUCGGCGUCUGACAAACGCUGGCACCAAAACUCUCCUUGGCAUCAAAUAUUUGCUCUGCAGCCGAUGUUUCACCGGGGCGUGUGUGUGGUGACACGUGAUCCCGGGGACCGGGUCUGCUCUGGUCUCACCAGGCCCAGGCACAUGACUGGGAGUCGGACUCUUUAUUCUGAGCACACACAGGCUUGGGAUCCAACACCUUCACCAUCUCAGCCCCAUCGUCCUCAACACCGGACUCUCGUGGACCUUCAGAUGUUCUCCAGCCGACCAGCCAGGCCACGGCGGCGUGUUUUCCAAGGGAAAAGCCUGAACGGUCCUGACGGCUCACCUGCCACCUAACGACGGAGCUCCUGCAUGUUGUGGCCCAUUUGGGCGGAGUGGAGCGCGGCUCCUCACCUUGAUGACUGUUCUGCCGGGAGCCCAGCGGAGGCAACUCUAAUGACAAGUGGAGAGAAAGGCGGGAGAGUGGCAGCGGGGCCCAGUCUCGUCGGCCCCUGAGGAGACAUUAGAGCGGCGCUCGCGUCACGCUGCACAGCGGCGAGGCCGGACGCUGCUCCUGCGGCGAGGCCGGAGACUGCUGCGAGGCCGGAGACUGCUGCGAGGCC